AACGAACGCUGGCGGCAGGCUUAACACAUGCAAGUCGAACGAGCUGAGGGCUUCGUUCCCCGAUGCUAGUGGCGCACGGGCGAGUAACACGUGGGAAGAUGCCCUUUAUUACGGAAUAACCAAGGUAAACGUUGCCUAAUAUCGUAUAGGCUCUUCGGGGGAAAGACUUAUCGCAAAAGGGUUAGCCCGCGUCGGAUUAGGUAGUUGGUGAGGUAAUGGCUCACCAAGCCGACGAUCAGUAGCUGGUCUGAGAGGACGAUCAGCCACACCGGGACUGAGACACGGCCCGGACUCCUACGGGAGGCAGCAGUGGGGAAUAUUGGACAAUGGGGGCGACCCUGAUCCAGCCAUGCCGCGUGAAUGAAGAAGGCCUUCGGGUUGUAAAGCUCUAUCGACGGGGACGAUGAUGACGGUACCCUUAUAAGAAGCCCCGGCAAACUUCGUG
Molecule: ribosomal RNA, 445 nt
Filed under: uncultured bacterium
Lineage: Bacteria
Description: partial 16S ribosomal RNA
Rfam family: Bacterial small subunit ribosomal RNA
Source: RNAcentral